GCUUGUCUCAAAGAUUAAGCCAUGCAUGUCUAAGUAUAAAUAACUACACAGUAAAACUGCGAAUGGCUCAUUAGAACAGUUAUAGUUUAUUUGAUAAAUUAAAUGGAUAACUGUAGGAAACUAGAGCUAAUACAUGCCAAGGCCGUAAGGCUGCAUUUAUUAGAUAUACCAAGUAGGUGAAUCAUAAUAACUUUGCAAAUCGAAACUACGUUUCGAUACAUCAUUCAAGUUUCUGACCUAUCAUGCUCUCGAUGGUAGUGUAUUGGACUACCAUGGCAGUCACGGGUAACGGAGAAUUAGGGUUCGAUUCCGGAGAAGGAGCCUGAGAAACGGCUACCACAUCCAAGGAAGGCAGCAGG
Molecule: ribosomal RNA, 359 nt
Filed under: Hemiophrys procera
Lineage: Eukaryota; Ciliophora; Litostomatea; Pleurostomatida; Amphileptidae
Description: partial small subunit ribosomal RNA
Rfam family: Eukaryotic small subunit ribosomal RNA
Source: RNAcentral